UUAACGCGAAGAACCUUACCAGGUCUUGACAUUUUCUGCUAACCUAAGAGAUUAGGCGUUCCCUUCGGGGACGGAAUGACAGGUGGUGCAUGGUUGUCGUCAGCUCGUGUCGUGAGAUGUUGGGUUAAGUCCCGCAACGAGCGCAACCCUUAUUGUCAGUUGCCAGCAUUUAGUUGGGCACUCUGGCGAGACUGCCGGUGACAAACCGGAGGAAGGUGGGGAUGACGUCAAAUCAUCAUGCCCCUUAUGACCUGGGCUACACACGUGCUACAAUGGACGGUACAACGAGUCGCGAAACCGCGAGGUCAAGCUAAUCUCUUAAAGCCGUUCUCAGUUCGGAUUGUAGGCUGCAACUCGCCUACAUGAAGUUGGAAUCGCUAGUAAUCGUGGAUCAGC
Molecule: ribosomal RNA, 396 nt
Filed under: uncultured bacterium
Lineage: Bacteria
Description: bacterial SSU rRNA
Rfam family: Bacterial small subunit ribosomal RNA
Source: RNAcentral